CAGUGGUCAUAUGCUCGUCUCAAAGACUAAGCCAUGCAUGUCUAAGUUCAUAACUAUUAAAGUUGAAACUGCGAAGCGCUCAGUAAAUCAGUUAUAGUCUGUUCGAUGUUUAGUGCUGGAUAACUGUGGCAAAUCUAUAGCUAAUACAUGUUCAACGCCAGUCUUUUGGCUGGUGUCAUUUAUUGGCAAACCGAUUCGGACCUAGUCCGUAGGUGAAUCUAGAUAACUUGGAGACCGUAUAACCUUGUGUUGACGGUGUUUCGAAUGAAUUUCUGCCCUAUCAACUAGUUGGUAAGGUAGUGGCUUACCAAGGUAGUAACGGGUAACGGGGAAUCAGGGUUCGAUUCCGGAGAGGGAGCCUGAGAAACGGCUACCACAUCCAAGGAAGGCAGCAGGCGCGCAAAUUACCCAAUCCAGACAUUGGGAGGUAGUGACGAGAAAUACUGGGGAUGUUCUAUUUAGAAUGUCACUCGGGAUGAACGUAGCAUAAAACAUUCGAUGAGGAUCUACUGGAGGGCAAGUCUGGUGCCAGCAGCCGCGGUAAUUCCAGCUCCAGUAGUGUAUAUCAACAUUGUUGCGUUUAAAACGCUCGUAGUUGGAUUACAGGGUGUCAAAUCUGUGUUGCUAAAAUUAUAGCCACAGUGCCAGCGUUGUGCUGUGUUUUAUUUAACAAUAUUUCCCAGUAUGACGUUGGUGACGCCUUUUUGUCGCACUGGCUCUACUGUCAACUUUAUUGGGGGCUGUAGACGCCGGUGGAGUGUGCCUUGAAUAAAGCAUAGUGCUCAAAGCAGGCGUACGCUCGUGUGUAAUAGCAUGGAACAGAUAGCAGACUUGCAGCUUCGGCUGUCUUGGUUGCAGGUUAACGCCUGUAACUAAGGGGUUCAUUUGUUGGUUGUGGACCGGGUCGCAUCGAUUAAAAGGGACAUUUGAGGGCAUUGGUACUUUGUGGCGAGAGGUGAAAUUCUUAGACCCACAAAAGACUGACUGGUGCGAAAGCGUUUGUCAAGAAUGUUUUCAUUAAUCAAGAACGAAGGUCAGAGGUUCGAAGACGAUCAGAUACCGUCCUAGUUUUGACAGCAAACGAUGCUAGCACAGGGCCAGGCUAUCCACCUUUAAAAAGGAAGAGACGGCUUGGUCCUGCCGGGAAACCUCAAGCUUUCGAGUUACGGGGAGAGUAUAGCUUCAAGGCGGGAAUUUAAAGAAAUUGACGGAGAGGCACCACCAGGAGUGGAGCCUGCGGCUUAAUUUGACUCAACACGGGGAAACUCACCAGGUCCAGACAUUGGCAGGAUUGACAGGCUGAUAGACCUUUCAUGAUUCGGUGGAUGGUGGUGCAUGGCCGUUCUUAGUUGGUGGAGUGAUCUGUCAGGUCUAUUCCGGUAACGAGCGAGACCGCGGUCAGUAGUUUGCUAUUUACAUUUCGUUCUGGUCAAUUUAUUGGCUAGAACCUCUAGGUUGCUUUUGUAGCCUAGUGUUGUUGAUAGCACUACUGGGACUACUGGACUCUAAGCCAGGGGAAGCGCGGCAAUAACAGGUCUGUGAUGCCCUUCGAUGUCCUGGGCUGCACGCGCGCUACAAUGGCAGCAGUAGAGAGUAGAUGGGUAGAGAUGCCCGUCUAACCUGUAAAUAGCUGUCGUGAUAGGGAUUGUGCCUUGGAAUUAUUGCACAUGAAAGAGGAAUUCCUCGUAAGCACGGGUCAUCAGCCCGUGUUGAAUACGUCUCUGCCUCUUGUACACACCGCCCGUCGCUACUACCGAUUGAAUAUCAUCUAGAGCUGGCUGGACAGCUGCUAUAUUUAUAUAGUGGNAUGAAAGGCCGACCCUGGAUGU
This 1829-nucleotide ribosomal RNA is filed under the name Ceratomyxa buri. RNAcentral describes it as "bacterial SSU rRNA". It matches the Rfam family "Eukaryotic small subunit ribosomal RNA". The record is from RNAcentral. Lineage: Eukaryota; Metazoa; Cnidaria; Myxozoa; Bivalvulida; Ceratomyxidae.